UGGGUAUCGAGUAUCGAGUAUCGAUUGGAACCGGGACUAACUUUCCGAUUCUCCCGGAAUCGUUCAAAAGUUUAAAUUUCGAUUCCUAGUUUCGAUACCCAGUCCGCCGACCGGAAAAAAAGAAUAAGUCCGCCGACCGGAAGAAGAAGCCGCUGAACACCAACGAAGAAGCGCCCACCGCCGGAAGUGUUAGCAUAGCCGAGCCUAUGUAGCCGAGCGAGUCAGUCAAGGGUGUCGGCGGUCAAAAGUGUGGCUUUAUUUUACUAAAAAAAAUGAAAUAUCGGCGAAAUGUAACACGUGCGACAGGACUGUUUCGUGCUUAGGAGGGUGCACGUCGAACAUGAUGAAGCACCUCCGAGUUCAUGGAGUACAAAUAAAUGCGUGUCCCGUCUUCGACGCGCUGCGCCGACCGUCCUCUGCCUCCGACGCCUAGCCUGGCACCUCGGUGACUGCACUGCAGUCCGAAUCCGACAAUUUACAACCUGCUAGCCAGGCUCCGCGAUGUGCUCAGCGUACUCCGUUCACCGUAGCGGCAAUGGGGAAGAUGUCGGUGCCACAGACGGAAAAGUGCCACAGAAAGGUCACUGCACACAUAGUCAAAAGACUGCGUCCUUUUUCAGAGGUGGAAUCUCCAACAUUUCGGGAUAUGGUGAAAACUCUCAACCCAAAAUACAUACCACCUUCCAGGGACUACCUGUCAAACACAUGGUACAAGAAGAAUCGGAAUCGAGAAUCGUCAGGAAUCGGAAACGAAACAAAGAAUCGGAAUCGGAAUCGUUCGAACUCAAACGAUACCCAACCCUAUUACGGACUGUAUCCCUUGCAGAUUGUAUUGAUAUAUAUUGAUGUAUAAUGUAGGAACCAGAAUAUUAAUAACAAAGAAACAACCUUUUUGUGUGAAUGAGGGAGGUUUUUUGGGUUGGUGCACUAAUUGUAAGUGUAUCUUGUGUUUUUGACCAUAGGUAAGGAGCUUUGGGUUAUGACCGAAAGGACAAGAUCAC
Molecule: long non-coding RNA, 1001 nt
Organism: Nerophis lumbriciformis (worm pipefish)
Lineage: Eukaryota; Metazoa; Chordata; Actinopteri; Syngnathiformes; Syngnathidae
Source: RefSeq, a predicted model, not a curated record